UACGUUGGUCCCGAGCGUUGUCCGGAUUUAUUGGGCGUAAAGCGAGCGCAGGUGGUUUAUUAAGUCUGGUGUAAAAGGCAGUGGCUCAACCAUUGUAUGCAUUGGAAACUGGUAGACUUGAGUGCAGGAGAGGAGAGUGGAAUUCCAUGUGUAGCGGUGAAAUGCGUAGAUAUAUGGAGGAACACCGGUGGCGAAAGCGGCUCUCUGGCCUGUAACUGACGCUGAGGCUCGAAAGCGUGGGGAGCAAACAGG
This 252-nucleotide ribosomal RNA is filed under the name uncultured bacterium. RNAcentral describes it as "partial 16S ribosomal RNA". It matches the Rfam family "Bacterial small subunit ribosomal RNA", at positions 524 to 776 of the family's 1533-position model. The record is from RNAcentral.